This 372-nucleotide ribosomal RNA is filed under the name uncultured eukaryote. Its description in RNAcentral is "partial 18S ribosomal RNA". It matches the Rfam family "Eukaryotic small subunit ribosomal RNA", at positions 592 to 975 of the family's 1831-position model. The record is from RNAcentral.
UAAUAGCAUAUAUUAAAGUUGUUGCAGUUAAAAAGCUCGUAGUUGGAUUUCUGGGAGGGUGCCAAUGUCCGCCGACGUGCGUGCGCAGCGGCGCCCUUCCAUCCUUCUGUUAACGCCUCUUGGCAUUCAUUUGCUGGUGGCGGGCUCAGAUAUUUUACCUUGAGAAAAUUAGAGUGUUUCAGGCAGGCUAGGCCGGAAUACAUUAGCAUGGAAUAAUGGAAUAGGACUACGGUCUCUUUGUUGGUUUGAGGGACUGCAGUAAUGAUUAAUAGGGAUAGUUGGGGGCAUUAGUAUUUAAUUGUCAGAGGUGGAAUUCUCGGAUUUGUUAAAGACUAACUUAUGCGAAAGCAUUUGCCAAGGAUGUUUUCAUUA